This 1104-nucleotide long non-coding RNA is filed under the name Gossypium barbadense (sea-island cotton). RNAcentral describes it as "long non-coding RNA (GBAR_LNC000602)". Lineage: Eukaryota; Viridiplantae; Streptophyta; Magnoliopsida; Malvales; Malvaceae. The record is from RNAcentral.
UUUUUGCAACCCUUUCUUCUUCGAUUUUCUUUUUGAAAACCAAAAUAAGCAUACCUCAGAAUGAGUUUUAGAAGCCGAAACUAGAUCCUUUGUUGUUAAUUUUCUCUUGGUUCAAACUCCUUCUUCCUUCCAUUAUUUUUAAGACUAUAGCCGAUUGCCUCAAAUUCCGAAAUCCCGAAAACUUGAUUCCUCUUGUACCGAUUUCCUUAGCCAAUUCUCUUAUUUUUCUCAUCAUCUUUGGCCAAUUCUCUCGUCCUCUAAACCCCAAGUUUCUAUCGACAGUACCACAGUAAAACCCUCAUAUUUUAUCUUUCUCUACACUAUUACAAAAAAGCUGAAAAUCCCACACUAUCCUAGGGACAUAGCCGAAUAUUGAGAUCACUGAAGGCUCGAAUUUUGUUAUCGUUUGAGGGCUUAGAGCUGCAUCAGAAUCAAGUAGGAACUAAGGGGGAACGUUGACUGAAAGAAUCGGUGGUAAGUCUUUCCAACUUAGUCUAUCUUUCGUAUUUUAGAAAAAAAGCCGAAACCCCUAAAGGCUAAGGAGGCUGUCGAUUUGGGUUUAUAGCCCUAAGGGUUGUGAUAAUUACUUUAUUUUUGAUAAUAGUGUGAUCUAGAGGCUGUUGAUCAAGGGCUUGGACAAGUGGAACAACUGGAUCUAAACCUAGUCGCUAACUUUGGCAAAGGUAGGAUCGCUAGUGCCUAAGGUGUUAUUGGCCGAAUAUGGUAAGGAGUUAAUAUGUAGUUCAUUUUUGAUAGUUAGAUUAACGUGGUAGUAAUACAAUUGUAGGCAGUUCGUACGUGGAUCUCGUCAACGAAUCGUCAUAAAAUAGGUGUGUAAACGACACCCACUCAUAGACUAGAUCGGCAAAAGCCAAAAAGCUAAAAAGCCGGCAUUUGUGAACUUACGAGCGUGCGAGCGCUUGUGAGGUGGUUAGGUUGUUAAUUUUGGUAAUCGCAAGCAGUAUGAUUGCAGAGUGCGCAAUUUCGUGCACUUCGGUAUAUUUGGGCUUAAUGGGCCAAAAACGGGUUAGUGGGCCAACGGGCCCAAUUCGGCAAAAACGCUCGGUAAGUGCUUCUGUUAAUGUGUUAAUGGUUAUAAUAUGU